GGGCGANAGCCUGAUCCAGCAAUGCCGCGUGUGUGAAGAAGGCCUUCGGGUUGUAAAGCACUUUUGUCCGGAAAGAAAUGGCUCUGGUUAAUACCUGGGGUCGAUGACGGUACCGGAAGAAUAAGGACCGGCUAACUACGUGCCAGCAGCCGCGGUAAUANUNCU
This 165-nucleotide ribosomal RNA is filed under the name uncultured bacterium. Its description in RNAcentral is "partial 16S ribosomal RNA". It matches the Rfam family "Bacterial small subunit ribosomal RNA", at positions 373 to 528 of the family's 1533-position model. The record is from RNAcentral.